This 478-nucleotide ribosomal RNA is filed under the name uncultured bacterium. RNAcentral's name for it is "partial 16S ribosomal RNA". It matches the Rfam family "Bacterial small subunit ribosomal RNA", at positions 28 to 523 of the family's 1533-position model. The record is from RNAcentral.
GACGGACGCUGGCGGCGUGCUUAACACAUGCAAGUCGAACGGUAAGGCCCUUCGGGGUACACGAGUGGCGAACGGGUGAGUAACACGUGGGUGAUCUGCCCUGCACUUCGGGAUAAGCCUGGGAAACUGGGUCUAAUACCGGAUGGGACUCCUGGCUUCAUGGUUGGGGGGGGAAAGCUUUUGCGGUGUGGGAUGGGCCCGCGGCCUAUCAGCUUGUUGGUGGGGUAAUGGCCUACCAAGGCGACGACGGGUAGCCGGCCUGAGAGGGUGACCGGUCACACUGGGACUGAGAUACGGCCCAGACUCCUACGGGAGGCAGCAGUGGGGAAUAUUGCACAAUGGGCGCAAGCCUGAUGCAGCGACGCCGCGUGAGGGAUGACGGCCUUCGGGUUGUAAACCUCUUUCAGCUAUGACGAAGCGCAAGUGACGGUAGUAGCAGAAGAAGGACCGGCCAACUACGUGCCAGCCGCCGCGGUAA